Pelobates cultripes (western spadefoot toad) is the source of this 921-nucleotide non-coding RNA. NCBI's taxonomy places the organism in Eukaryota, Metazoa, Chordata, Amphibia, Anura, Pelobatidae. The record is from the annotation of a GenBank genome assembly.
CUGACGGGACCUCGAGGGGAAGCCCACUCCCUUGUCAUGGAAGGACAACUGGCACUAGUUGCCUGGACGGCUUCAGGGGCUCCUGGUCAGUUCACAACCUAUUGCAUCAACUAAGACCUCCUAUGGGACUCAUAGGCUCCCGGCACCAGGAAAGGCUAUAUUUCUGCCUGGUCGGCCUGGAGUGAGUGGUGUGUGGAAAGGGAUUCCGAUCCCUUUACCGCACCUGUCCCACUGACCCUCAACUAUCCGUCACACCUGGUCUCGUUGGGUCGGUCAUAUCGAUCCCUCAACGUGAUCAGAUCCGCCGAUAUACGCAGAUAUUGGCGGCGCACGUUCCGGUACAGAGCAGACCAGUAGGUCAAGAUACACUGGUUUGUCGACUACUGUGGGGUGUCGAAUUGUCGAGAUCCCUGCACCCAAAUAUUCACGCCUCUGGCAGGUGGAUGUGGUGCUGAGAUUCCUUAGGGAAUGGCCGGACAAUCCUUGUUUGUCACUGAAGCAACUUUCAGCCAAACUAGCCCUCUUAUUAUGCCUCGCCUCAUUUAGACGGUGGCGGACGUUAGGGCUUGCGAUAUGGAUGGUUUCUCUCUCACACCAGACGGGGUUACCUUUACCAUGUCGAGAUGAACUAAGUCUGUUUCGUCUUCAGAGUCAUACCCAUGCUUUGUGUCAGACGCCUCACUAUGCGUGGUCAGAACGCUAAUGGGGUACACCAAUAUCUCUACCCCCUUCGAACUCAUUCGACGGAUCACCUUCUGACUUCUUACGUGAACCCUCAUGGACCGGUGUCUACCGCAACACUGGCCAGAUGGGUCCGCUGGUUUUUGUCUUUAGCGUCGAACCUUGUUUCGGAGCCCACUCGGUCAGGGGAGCGGCGGCCUCACAAACCUUUUCGGCCGACGCUUCCCUAGCCGACAUUAU